RNAcentral lists this ribosomal RNA (458 nucleotides) under uncultured beta proteobacterium. Its description in RNAcentral is "bacterial SSU rRNA". It matches the Rfam family "Bacterial small subunit ribosomal RNA", at positions 192 to 642 of the family's 1533-position model. Lineage: Bacteria; Pseudomonadati; Pseudomonadota; Betaproteobacteria. The record is from RNAcentral.
AGGAAAGCAGGGAUGCAAGACUUGCGCUUUUGGAGCGGCCGAUGUCUGAUUAGCUAGUUGGUGAGGUAAAGGCUUACCAAGGCUUCGAUCAGUAGCUGGUCUGAGAGGACGACCAGCCACACUGGGACUGAGACACGGCCCAGACUCCUACGGGAGGCAGCAGUGGGGAAUUUUGGACAAUGGGGGAAACCCUGAUCCAGCCAUGCCGCGUGAGUGAAGAAGGCCUUCGGGUUGUAAAGCUCUUUCAGCCGGAACGAAAAGGUUACGGUUAAUACCCGUGACUAAUGACGGUACCGGAAGAAGAAGCACCGGCUAACUACGUGCCAGCAGCCGCGGUAAUACGUAGGGUGCGAGCGUUAAUCGGAAUUACUGGGCGUAAAGCGUGCGCAGGCGGUUUUGUAAGUCAGAUGUGAAAUCCCCGGGCUCAACCUGGGAACUGCGUUUGAAACUACAAAGCU